GACGAACGCUGGCGGCGUGCUUAACACAUGCAAGUCGAGCGGUAAGGCCCUUCGGGUACGACGAGCGGCGAACGGGUGAGUAACACGUGGGUGACCUGCCUUUAGCUCUGGGAUAAGCCUGGGAAACUGGGUCUAAUACCGGAUAUGACCUCAUGACGCAUGUUGUGGGGUGGAAAGCCUUGUGCGGCUAGAGAUGGGCCCGCGGCCUAUCAGCUUGUUGGUGGGGUGAUGGCCUACCAAGGCGACGACGGGUAGCCGGCCUGAGAGGGCGACCGGCCACACUGGGACUGAGACACGGCCCAGACUCCUACGGGAGGCAGCAGUGGGGAAUCUUGCGCAAUGGGCGAAAGCCUGACGCAGCGACGCCGCGUGAGGGAUGACGGCCU
RNAcentral lists this ribosomal RNA (386 nucleotides) under uncultured bacterium. Its description in RNAcentral is "bacterial SSU rRNA". It matches the Rfam family "Bacterial small subunit ribosomal RNA", at positions 28 to 417 of the family's 1533-position model. The record is from RNAcentral.